CUACGUUGAAACACCGGAUCUCGUACGAUCCCUGAAGUUAAACAACGUCGAGCCUGGCCAGUACCCCGAUGGGUUGCCGCUUGGAAAUGCUAGAUGGUGUAAG
Molecule: non-coding RNA, 103 nt
Organism: Acanthosepion pharaonis
Lineage: Eukaryota; Metazoa; Mollusca; Cephalopoda; Sepiida; Sepiidae
Source: the annotation of a GenBank genome assembly